This 88-nucleotide microRNA precursor is filed under the name Paramuricea clavata. RNAcentral describes it as "mir-160 microRNA precursor family". It matches the Rfam family "mir-160 microRNA precursor family". Rfam says of the family: The hairpin precursors (represented here) are predicted based on base pairing and cross-species conservation -- their extents are not known. The record is from Rfam by way of RNAcentral. Lineage: Eukaryota; Metazoa; Cnidaria; Anthozoa; Malacalcyonacea; Plexauridae.
UACCACCUGGCUACCUGUAUAACAUAGAGUAUUUACAAAUUUCAAAAAAAUUGUAAAUACUUUAUGUUAUACAGGUAGCCAAGUGGUA